Molecule: non-coding RNA, 93 nt
Organism: Hyaloscypha variabilis F
Lineage: Eukaryota; Fungi; Ascomycota; Leotiomycetes; Helotiales; Hyaloscyphaceae
Source: the annotation of a GenBank genome assembly
GGCCUGAUAGUUCAGUGGUAGAAUUCUUGCUUUGGGUGUUCUUCGGACGCACAAAAUUGUAAGAGGUCUCCGGUUCGAUCCCGGUAAGGACCA